UUUGUUAAUCUCUAGAAGCAUCAUCAUCAUAUGACACCCUUACAAAUUUUGCUACCUUCUGUUGAAUCACAUGCCAUAAACAAUAAGGAUAGCAUUUAAGGGAUUACUUUGGUGGUAAAAAACAUGUGUUCCUUUUCAUGAUGCUAGUGUAUGAAAAAUGAGUUCUUUAAAUUGUUAAGAAACACAAUGUAGUUUUGGUCGACGUGUAAAUUAAUCUAAGAAUAUAAUUUAACAUUAAAUAAAACAAAUAAAAAAUAGUGAUACGAUGUAUUGCACCUAAUAUCAUGAAGACUAUUAAAAUUGUAUAGGAAAAAAAUAAAUAUUUGAUAUCUU
Molecule: long non-coding RNA, 333 nt
Filed under: Populus tremula
Lineage: Eukaryota; Viridiplantae; Streptophyta; Magnoliopsida; Malpighiales; Salicaceae
Description: long non-coding RNA (PTRE_LNC002652)
Source: RNAcentral